GAUGAACGCUGGCGGCGUGCCUAAUACAUGCAAGUCGAGCGAACGGACGAGAAGCUUGCUUCUCUGAUGUUAGCGGCGGACGGGUGAGUAACACGUGGAUAACCUACCUAUAAGACUGGGAUAACUUCGGGAAACCGGAGCUAAUACCGGAUAAUAUUCUGAACCGCAUGGUUCAAAAGUGAAAGACGGUCUUGCUGUCACUUAUAGAUGGAUCCGCGCUGCAUUAGCUAGUUGGUAAGGUAACGGCUUACCAAGGCAACGAUGCAUAGCCGACCUGAGAGGGUGAUCGGCCACACUGGAACUGAGACACGGUCCAGACUCCUACGGGAGGCAGCAGUAGGGAAUCUUCCGCAAUGGGCGAAAGCCUGACGGAGCAACGCCGCGUGAGUGAUGAAGGUCUUCGGAUCGUAAAACUCUGUUAUUAGGGAAGAACAUAUGUGUAAGUAACUGUGCACAUCUUGACGGUACCUAAUAAGAAAGCAACGGCUAACUACGUG
RNAcentral lists this ribosomal RNA (497 nucleotides) under uncultured bacterium. RNAcentral's name for it is "partial 16S ribosomal RNA". It matches the Rfam family "Bacterial small subunit ribosomal RNA", at positions 28 to 507 of the family's 1533-position model. The record is from RNAcentral.